Molecule: ribosomal RNA, 710 nt
Filed under: Escherichia coli
Lineage: Bacteria; Pseudomonadati; Pseudomonadota; Gammaproteobacteria; Enterobacterales; Enterobacteriaceae
Description: partial 23S ribosomal RNA
Rfam family: Bacterial large subunit ribosomal RNA
Source: RNAcentral
GGGACACGUGGUAUCCUGUCUGAAUAUGGGGGGACCAUCCUCCAAGGCUAAAUACUCCUGACUGACCGAUAGUGAACCAGUACCGUGAGGGAAAGGCGAAAAGAACCCCGGCGAGGGGAGUGAAAAAGAACCUGAAACCGUGUACGUACAAGCAGUGGGAGCACGCUUAGGCGUGUGACUGCGUACCUUUUGUAUAAUGGGUCAGCGACUUAUAUUCUGUAGCAAGGUUAACCGAAUAGGGGAGCCGAAGGGAAACCGAGUCUUAACUGGGCGUUAAGUUGCAGGGUAUAGACCCGAAACCCGGUGAUCUAGCCAUGGGCAGGUUGAAGGUUGGGUAACACUAACUGGAGGACCGAACCGACUAAUGUUGAAAAAUUAGCGGAUGACUUGUGGCUGGGGGUGAAAGGCCAAUCAAACCGGGAGAUAGCUGGUUCUCCCCGAAAGCUAUUUAGGUAGCGCCUCGUGAAUUCAUCUCCGGGGGUAGAGCACUGUUUCGGCAAGGGGGUCAUCCCGACUUACCAACCCGAUGCAAACUGCGAAUACCGGAGAAUGUUAUCACGGGAGACACACGGCGGGUGCUAACGUCCGUCGUGAAGAGGGAAACAACCCAGACCGCCAGCUAAGGUCCCAAAGUCAUGGUUAAGUGGGAAACGAUGUGGGAAGGCCCAGACAGCCAGGAUGUUGGCUUAGAAGCAGCCAUCAUUUAAAGA